CCCCUAGAUGUUCUGGGCCGCACGCGCGCUACACUGAUGCAUUCAACGAGCCUAUCCUUGACCGACAGGUCCGGGUAAUCUUUGAAUCUGCAUCGUGACGGGGAUAGAUUAUUGCAAUUAUUAAUCUUCAACGAGGAAUGCCUAGUAGGCGCAAGUCAUCAGCUUGCGUCGAUUACGUCCCUGCCCUUUGUACACACCGCCCGUCGCUCCUACCGAUUGGGUGUGCUGGUGAAAUGUUCGGAUCGGCCGUUUGUCGCGGUUUCCGCGGCUCGUGGCUGAGAAGUUCAUUAAACCCUCCCACCUAGAGGAAGGAGAAGUCGUAACA
RNAcentral lists this ribosomal RNA (325 nucleotides) under uncultured eukaryote. RNAcentral describes it as "partial 18S ribosomal RNA". It matches the Rfam family "Eukaryotic small subunit ribosomal RNA", at positions 1470 to 1796 of the family's 1831-position model. The record is from RNAcentral.